CAGGGUAGUCUAAUGAAGGAUGUAAGCUUUGGGGGUUUGAGGUCUCUUAUGAUGAGUCGGCUGA
This 64-nucleotide transfer RNA is filed under the name Cryptocotyle lingua. RNAcentral describes it as "tRNA-Pro". The record is from RNAcentral. Lineage: Eukaryota; Metazoa; Platyhelminthes; Trematoda; Opisthorchiida; Heterophyidae.